UGGAGGCCACUAUUUUCAGUCACCAAUGCAUGACACCGACACCACCAAUCGAACCAGCUAGGAGCUCAAUCCGAUCAAAACCCAAGCCCAGCACCGCCGUGCACCCACUCCUGCCUCCGUACGCGAUCCUCCAAGCUGCUACUCCCUAGCCUUCGUCAGAUUUCGGUUGCCAUCUUGCAACAUCUCUGCCAUCGCUUUGAUUUAUUUGAGUACUGAAGGCUGAAGCAGAGGAGAGCGGUUAUGAAUUCGUGCUUUUCUUUCUGAGCAUCUUGUGCUUGAAAUUAUUUAAGUACUUGAAGAUUACUACUCUUCUAGCUUGCUAGGCCUGGCAGUGACAGAGGCGUUUGGUUUCAUCGUUGCCUGGAGAAUCGGCCAUUGAUCAAGGGAGGCUUUGCUCGGAAACCGAGGCAUUGUAUCGAAGUAUCGGACACAAGAUCAACAAAUCUGUUCAUCAUCUCAACUUGACAGAAAGCUAAAGAUGCAGAGAAUGAGAAAGUACCAUUGAUGAGGUCUGCUACUGGAAGCUGUGCAGAUGUAGAGCCAGUUCCUGCUACAAAUCCAUCUUGAAUCCUCCCUGCAUUGCCUCAAGCUUCAGUUAGUUGUGGUUAAACUGUGCCAUCAAUUCAUAAUGGAAUUUUCUGGAUGAAUAUUGUGUUGAUGUUAUUGGAAUGAAUACUGCUAAUGGAAUAUUGUAC
This is a long non-coding RNA of Rosa rugosa (rugosa rose), 695 nucleotides long. RefSeq lists it as uncharacterized. The transcript is spliced from 5 exons. Lineage: Eukaryota; Viridiplantae; Streptophyta; Magnoliopsida; Rosales; Rosaceae. The record is from RefSeq and is a predicted model, not a curated record.